UGAGUAGCAAAUCUGAAUUCAGCUUUACGGUGCUUUCUUUCCACUCUUCAAAAUUGCAGCUUUGUGGGCUGUCGGGAGAAGAUUAAAAAAGGGGUUACUUCGAUGAAAUUUUGUGCCUCCAUCACGGUUCCUAUUCACUUGAGUCUGAUAAUAGUUACCAUUUUGGCUGUACAAUACUAGCAUACUAGUACAAAAUAGGAUUGAUAGCAUGAAAGGUUUCAAUCAGGUUGAUGCACAGUUUUCUCGAAAUAAUAUGUAGCGAUUAAAUAGGGUUGGGACUAAGGUGCUUACCAUCCGAGCAACUCCCUUUCGUCAUGUCGUUGCAAUUAACUAAUAAGUUUCAUCUCCAAUGUUGAGUCAGCUGAAUUUUCCAACCCUUAUUCUUACUGGUGCCUUCCAUCAGUAAAAAGAUUUAGUACUCUUGUUCUUACUUGGGAAAAUCACUAACCAUACAUAUUACUUUUAUAUAAGACCUCAUAUUAUUCGAUGCAUAGAUACUUUUACUUAUUUACUAAGCAUAAAAAUAAUUUCGAAAUAUAACAUAUUUGGACUUUAAACAUACCCAUGAUUUUAUGCCCAAGUUUUGGAAGAGAAAAUCUGAUUUUUGUAAACUGAUUUCAGUACUCUUCAUUAAAUUUCUUUUUAAUUUCAAAUGUUCCGCUCCGCAAUGUUGUUAUAAGGUGCGAUUUGUCAUGCCCCCAGCCCAGCAGGUGCGAACAAGAAAGAUCUGUGAAAACAGAUAUCGGAGUCAGUACAAAUCUACUAUAGAGUUCACUGUGCAAAAUUGUAUUACUGAUAAACUGUAUAUGUUUAAUAAGCCGUCUGUAUUGACCAACUUGGUCGGGAUAGGCCCCACUUACUCAACUGUAA
Molecule: long non-coding RNA, 870 nt
Filed under: Capsicum annuum
Lineage: Eukaryota; Viridiplantae; Streptophyta; Magnoliopsida; Solanales; Solanaceae
Description: long non-coding RNA (CANN_LNC003043)
Source: RNAcentral